Molecule: non-coding RNA, 324 nt
Organism: Pelobates cultripes (western spadefoot toad)
Lineage: Eukaryota; Metazoa; Chordata; Amphibia; Anura; Pelobatidae
Source: the annotation of a GenBank genome assembly
CACAGGGCCCCCCUCCAUUCCCUACCUAUUAGUGAAGAUCCGUUCGGCAGAGUAGCUGUUGACAUUAUAGUUGCACAGGCACUUUGGUGCACUUUGGUGACUCUAGAGAACCUCGGGCCAAUCGCAUUUCCCUGUGAUGGCGACUUUGCAUUCGGAUGUCUGCCCUAUCAACUUUCGAUGCCACUUUCUGAGCCUACCAUGGUGACAACGGGUAACGGGGAAUCAGGGUUUGAUUCCGGAGAGACAGCCUGAGAAAUGGCUACCACAUCCAAAGAAGGCAGGGGGGCGCAAAUUACCCACUCCCGACCCGGGGAGGUAGUGACG